CCUACGGGGGGCUGCAGUGAGGAAUAUUGGUCAAUGGACGAGAGUCUGAACCAGCCAAGUAGCGUGAAGGAUGACUGCCCUAUGGGUUGUAAACUUCUUUUAUAGGGGAAUAAAAUGUGCCACGUGUGGGAUUUUGUAUGUACCAUAUGAAUAAGGAUCGGCUAACUCCGUGCCAGCAGCCGCGGUAAUACGGAGGAUCCGAGCGUUAUCCGGAGUUAGUGGGUUUAAAGGGAGCGUAGGUGGAUUGUUAAGUCAGUUGUGCAAGUUUGCGGCUCAACCGUAAAAUUUCAGUUGAAACUGGCAGUCUUGCUUACAGUAGCGGUGGGCGGAAUUCGUGGUGUAGC
RNAcentral lists this ribosomal RNA (344 nucleotides) under uncultured bacterium. Its description in RNAcentral is "partial 16S ribosomal RNA". It matches the Rfam family "Bacterial small subunit ribosomal RNA", at positions 338 to 679 of the family's 1533-position model. The record is from RNAcentral.